GUCGAAGCGGCGCAUGCGUAGCAUGGUCACCGAGUGAAGCUCCGCCGAUCCGACGCGGAGGCUGGGGUAUCUGGCAACCGGUGGGUGGAUGUAAGAGCAACUGCGUGGAGCAGGGCGUCGACCUUUUAAAGUUUCGCCGCAGGUGUAAUCGACCCAGGCCAACAAAUUCACCAAACUGUGAAGGCGACGAUAGCAGCUUUGGUACUUGUGCGUCCGUCGUGGGACGUCGUAUUCCUACUGCCGAGCAUGCACGAGAUAAAGACGACGCAAGUGUCAUAGACG
Priapulus caudatus is the source of this 282-nucleotide long non-coding RNA. RefSeq lists it as uncharacterized. Lineage: Eukaryota; Metazoa; Priapulida; Priapulimorpha; Priapulimorphida; Priapulidae. The transcript has 3 exons. The record is from RefSeq and is a predicted model, not a curated record.